CAGAAAGUAGUUUAAUAAAAAUACGAGUUUUGGAGACUUGAGUUGUAAGUUUUUAUCUUUCUGA
Molecule: transfer RNA, 64 nt
Filed under: Sida crystallina
Lineage: Eukaryota; Metazoa; Arthropoda; Branchiopoda; Diplostraca; Sididae
Description: tRNA-Pro
Source: RNAcentral